This 131-nucleotide unclassified non-coding RNA is filed under the name uncultured Ascomycota. RNAcentral's name for it is "sequence contains ITS1". The record is from RNAcentral. Lineage: Eukaryota; Fungi; Ascomycota.
CAGAGUUUAACAACUCCCAAACCCAUGUGAAUUUACCUAUGUUGCCUCGGCGGAGCCUACCCUGUAGCCCGCCGGUGGAAUUUCAAACUCUGUUUUUUUAAUGAAAUCUGAGCGUCUUAUUUAAUAAGUCA